Molecule: long non-coding RNA, 704 nt
Organism: Pseudopipra pipra
Lineage: Eukaryota; Metazoa; Chordata; Aves; Passeriformes; Pipridae
Exons: 2
Source: RefSeq, a predicted model, not a curated record
UCUCUUGGGUAGCGAUUUUGGAGGGGAAUCCCAGAGCGAUUUGGUUUGAAGGGGACCUUCAAAGGCCAGCCUGCCUUCCGUGGGCAGGGACACCUUCCACUGUCCCCGGUUGCUCCGAGUCCCGUCCAGCCUGGCCUGGAACACUUGCAGGGAUGGGGCAGGCUCAGUUUCCCUGUGCAGUGUGCUCUAAUAUCUCUCCACUGGCAUCCUGAAAAAUGUUGUCAGUGUGUUUUGUUGGACGACGCUAGGCAGGACCUGGGUGAAAAGGACAUUCUCUGAGGUGCUGGGAGAAGGAGGACUCGUGCGGGCACCUCCAGAGACAGCGGGAACGGGAGCGUGCUGCGGAGAAGGAAAAUUCCAGGGGAAUUGCCACGAGAGGAAAUACCUCAGAGGGGCUUCCCUCCAGAUAAGCCCUGAAUAUGCCAGGAGGUUUCAGCCGGGAGAAAGGAGCUGUGGAAGAAAAGCAGCCUAAAAGUAGCCAGCGGGGAUCAUCAGGUUUUCCAGGCAAGAAGAACAAGGAGAGAGAUGAGGGAAUGGGGUUCCAAUUCCUAAUGAUUUGGUGGGUGCAGGAAUGAUUUGUGUGUGUUUUCCAGUCCCUUUUGAUUCCUGAGAUGAUUUUAAAAUGAUGGCUUUAGCAAUCAACUAAAUCGGAGAUGUUGUUUUUGAGAGGAAAUGGUGCCAAAUAAAUGCAGAGUUUUGGGUCA